UAGAUACCCUAUUAUUCCUAAAUAAAUUUGUCCCAGGGUUAGUAGUAGGUAUUUACUUAAAAGCUAAAAAAUUUGGCGGUAAUUUAAUCUUUUCAGAGGAACUUGUUUUUUAAUCGAUAAGCCGCGAAUUAUCUUGCUUAUUCUUAUAGAGUUUGUAUACCGUCAUUAUCAGGUAAUUUUAAAAAAAUAAAUUUCUUAAGUUAAAAGAUUAUUAAAAUUAGAUCAUGGUGCAGCUAAUGAAUAAGUUAAAAUGAGUUACAAUAAAUUAUUUUAUACGGAUAAUUAAAAAAAUAUUUAAUUUGAAGGAGGAUUUGGUGGUACUUAAAGUUUAAUAUGCUUUAUGGAUGUUAGCUCUAAAUUAUGUACAUAUCGCCCGUCG
RNAcentral lists this ribosomal RNA (379 nucleotides) under Pinnotheridae sp. 3 KYKC-2019. RNAcentral's name for it is "partial small subunit ribosomal RNA". Lineage: Eukaryota; Metazoa; Arthropoda; Malacostraca; Decapoda; Pinnotheridae. The record is from RNAcentral.